GAUUGCGCGAUUUUGGGGUAAGUGAAGAUAGUUAAUUAGUCAAGCUUGGAGGUAUGGUAGGAGUGGCUUGUAUGGGUAAAAAAUGGCAUUGCCUUUGCUGUCGCAUGGUCCCAAUCUGAUGUUAUUUGGAACACCAUUUGGGUUAGUAAUAUAAGGAGUUGCAAAAUAUCCAGCCAAGCAUUUGAAUAUUUUGGUAAAGGUAAUUUUGGAAAGUUUUGUUUGUGGUUAUAAGUAAUACACUUUUCCCUUCAGGUUGGUGCCGUGAGAUGAAUUUCAUUGUGUUGGGAUUGUGGUUCUUAUUCAAAUAAAGAUAGUAAAAGCUCUCACAAAAAGGGGAUUUUACAUGGAGGUGGUCCACUCCUCUGGAUGUGAAAUCCCCCAAGCACGGAACAUCCAACGUUUUUUAGGCCCAAUGAGAUAGGUUUGCGG
This 429-nucleotide unclassified non-coding RNA is filed under the name Hevea brasiliensis (rubber tree). Lineage: Eukaryota; Viridiplantae; Streptophyta; Magnoliopsida; Malpighiales; Euphorbiaceae. The record is from RNAcentral.